GGGGGUAUAGCUCAAGUGCUAGAGCACAUGUUUGGCAUGCAUGAGGUCCUGAGUUCAAUUUCCAGUACCUCCU
Molecule: transfer RNA, 73 nt
Filed under: Camelus bactrianus (Bactrian camel)
Lineage: Eukaryota; Metazoa; Chordata; Mammalia; Artiodactyla; Camelidae
Also listed under: 3 other names
Rfam family: tRNA
About the family: Transfer RNA (tRNA) molecules are approximately 80 nucleotides in length. Their secondary structure includes four short double-helical elements and three loops (D, anti-codon, and T loops). Further hydrogen bonds mediate the characteristic L-shaped molecular structure. tRNAs have two regions of fundamental functional importance: the anti-codon, which is responsible for specific mRNA codon recognition, and the 3' end, to which the tRNAs corresponding amino acid is attached (by aminoacyl-tRNA synthetases). tRNAs cope with the degeneracy of the genetic code in two manners: having more than one tRNA (with a specific anti-codon) for a particular amino acid; and 'wobble' base-pairing, i.e. permitting non-standard base-pairing at the 3rd anti-codon position.
Source: Rfam by way of RNAcentral